AGAGUUUGAUUAUAGCUCAGGAUGAACGCUGGCGGCGUGCCUAAUACAUGCAAGUCGAACGAGGUAGCAAUACCGAGUGGCGAACGGGUGAGUAACACGUAGGUAACCUGCCCUUAAGCUUGGGAUACCCAGAGGAAACUUUGGCUAAUACCGGAUAACAACAGAGAAGGCAUCUUCUUUGCUUGAAAGGCCCCUUCAAGGGUCACUUAAGGAUGGACCUGCGGCGCAUUAGCUAGUUGGUGAGAUAACAGCCCACCAAGGCGAGGAUGCGUAGCCGAACUGAGAGGUUGAUCGGCCACAUUGGAACUGAGACACGGUCCAAACUCCUACGGGAGGCAGCAGUAAGGAGUUUUCGGCAAUGGGGGAAACCCUGACCGAGCAACGCCGCGUGAGCGAUGACGGUCCUUUGGAUUUGUAAAGCUCUGUUGUAAGCCAUGAAUGACAGCUUGAGGAAAUGCAAGUUGUUUGACGACAGCUUACCAGAAAGCCACGGCUAACUACGUGCCAGCCGCUGC
RNAcentral lists this ribosomal RNA (515 nucleotides) under uncultured bacterium. Its description in RNAcentral is "bacterial SSU rRNA". It matches the Rfam family "Bacterial small subunit ribosomal RNA", at positions 8 to 518 of the family's 1533-position model. The record is from RNAcentral.